AUUGAACGCUGGCGGCAGGCCUAACACGUGCAAGUCGAACGGUAACAGGAAACAGCUGGCUGUUUCGCUGACGAGUCGCGGACGGGUGAGUAAUGUCUGGGACACUGCCUGAGGGAGGGGGAUAACUACUAGAAACGGUCGCUAAUACCGCAUAACGUCGCAAGACCAAAGAGGGGGACCUUCGGGCCUUUGGCCAACGGAUGCGCCGAGAUGGGAUUAGCUAGUAGGUGGGGUAACGGCUCACCUAGGCGACGAUCCCUAGCUGGUCUGAGAGGAUGACCAGCCACACUGGAACUGAGACACGGUCCAGACUCCUACGGGAGGCAGCAGUGGGGAAUAUUGCACAAUGGGCGCAAGCCUGAUGCAGCCAUGCCGCGUGUAUGAAGAAGGCCUUCGGGUUGUAAAGUACUUUCAGCGGGGAGGAAGGGAGUAAAGUUAAUACCUUUGCUCAUUGACGUUACCCGCAGAAGAAGCACCGGCUAACUCCGUGCCAGCCGCCGCAGUAA
Molecule: ribosomal RNA, 506 nt
Filed under: uncultured bacterium
Lineage: Bacteria
Description: partial 16S ribosomal RNA
Rfam family: Bacterial small subunit ribosomal RNA
Source: RNAcentral